GGACCCGUCUUGAAACACGGACCAAGGAGACCUGCAUGUGUGCUAGUCAUUGAGACUAUACACAAAACUGAAAGGCACAACAAAAGUGAAGGCGUGCGCUUGUCGCGCGCUCAGGGAGGAUGGAGCGUCGGUCUAGAUCGAUCUCUCACACUCCCGAGGCGUCUCGUUUCCAAUCCGUGAAUGCAGGCGCGCUCUGAGCACAGAUGCUGGGACCCGAAAGAUGGUGAACUAUACA
RNAcentral lists this ribosomal RNA (235 nucleotides) under Caprona alida. Its description in RNAcentral is "partial large subunit ribosomal RNA". It matches the Rfam family "Eukaryotic large subunit ribosomal RNA", at positions 645 to 837 of the family's 3401-position model. The record is from RNAcentral. Lineage: Eukaryota; Metazoa; Arthropoda; Insecta; Lepidoptera; Hesperiidae.